This 775-nucleotide ribosomal RNA is filed under the name uncultured bacterium. RNAcentral describes it as "bacterial SSU rRNA". It matches the Rfam family "Bacterial small subunit ribosomal RNA", at positions 71 to 848 of the family's 1533-position model. The record is from RNAcentral.
AGCUUGCUUUUGAUGGGCGUCGACCGGCGCACGGGUGAGUAACGCGUAUCCAACCUGCCCACCACUUGGGGAUAACCUUGCGAAAGUAAGACUAAUACCCAAUGACGUCUCUAGAAGACAUCUGAAGGAGAUUAAAGAUUUAUCGGUGAUGGAUGGGGAUGCGUCUGAUUAGCUUGUUGGCGGGGUAACGGCCCACCAAGGCGACGAUCAGUAGGGGUUCUGAGAGGAAGGUCCCCCACAUUGGAACUGAGACACGGUCCAAACUCCUACGGGAGGCAGCAGUGAGGAAUAUUGGUCAAUGGGCGAGAGCCUGAACCAGCCAAGUAGCGUGCAGGAUGACGGCCCUAUGGGUUGUAAACUGCUUUUAUAAGGGAAUAAAGUGAGUCUCGUGAGACUUUUUGCAUGUACCUUAUGAAUAAGGACCGGCUAAUUCCGUGCCAGCAGCCGCGGUAAUACGGAAGGUCCGGGCGUUAUCCGGAUUUAUUGGGUUUAAAGGGAGCGUAGGCCGGAGAUUAAGCGUGUUGUGAAAUGUAGAUGCUCAACAUCUGCACUGCAGCGCGAACUGGUUUCCUUGAGUACGCACAAAGUGGGCGGAAUUCGUGGUGUAGCGGUGAAAUGCUUAGAUAUCACGAAGAACUCCGAUUGCGAAGGCAGCUCACUGGAGCGCAACUGACGCUGAAGCUCGAAAGUGCGGGUAUCGAACAGGAUUAGAUACCCUGGUAGUCCGCACGGUAAACGAUGGAUGCCCGCUGUUGGUCUGAAUAGGUCAGCGGCC